This 263-nucleotide long non-coding RNA is filed under the name Cottoperca gobio. RNAcentral's name for it is "lncRNA (ENSCGOG00000009459.1)". The record is from RNAcentral. Lineage: Eukaryota; Metazoa; Chordata; Actinopteri; Perciformes; Bovichtidae.
UUGUGGUGGCUGAGUCGUGAGCUCACUCCCCAUGUCUGAUCUGAUUUGUGUUUCUUUGUUUUCUUUUAGACCCUGGAGUAAGUGACCUGUAAAUAGUCACACUGGAGGUUUUCUAAAGGCCUUCCUUGCUUCUGUGACAGUGUAUGGACAUUGACAUUGGGAAGCCCAGCAGACAAAAGACGGAGAAUAGGGACCACCACAGCUAAAGAAGAGAGAGAAGAAUAUGCCAUGGCUGAGGGGAUGAUUGCUUCUCAAAGUGAACC